This 2731-nucleotide long non-coding RNA is filed under the name Capsicum annuum. RNAcentral's name for it is "long non-coding RNA (CANN_LNC011224)". Lineage: Eukaryota; Viridiplantae; Streptophyta; Magnoliopsida; Solanales; Solanaceae. The record is from RNAcentral.
GAACUUGUGGUGGUUUCAGUUAUUGCUGGACUGAAGGAGAUGUGGACUGAAGCGACGAUGAGAAACGAUGUUAAAGCUAUUGUUUUGACUUGUGAGCUUUCUCAAUUCACUAGCUUUUCGUAAUUUAGUGAUAUCUUCCAACAAACCUGUUGGGACAUUUUAUAGUAAUUUAAGCAUGUCUAAACCAUAUACAUGCCUCCGGCCAUUGUUUUGAAGUUGCCUUUCUAUCCCAAGGAUUUUCUAUCACGCUUACAUGGUAUGAAGUUCAGGAAGAGAAAUACUGUGCGUAGGGAUCCUUUGAACAAAACAUGUCAUACUUACAAAUUGUUUUCUAUCAAGAAAGGUUCUGGAUGUUGCUGAAAUUGACAGCUGUUUCCGGAGAAAUUUGUAAAAGAAAUUUAACUUUCUACAAGACGUGGUUAUGAAGUGUUAGUGAUCUAUUGCUUUAUGUGAUGCUUUAUGGAUUUCUUUUUAAGUUCAAUUAUUUGGUAAGUUCGGCAUUUUCCUUAACUUCGUUUGGUGAGCUUUGCAUAGCCGGUCCAAGACCAGCCUGGAUAAAGGAGGUUGGUGGUUAGUUAAAAUUAUAGUUACAAUUUGAUGAAUCAUAUAGGAGUUCUAGUUUUCAUUGAGGCGUAUAUGUGUUCUGCAUCAUACUUAUGUUAGUCUUCCCUUGCAUUUCAAGUUUAUGUUCUCUAUAUUUUUAUUCAGGAAAUGGAGGCAGAUUUUCUGGUGGUUUUGAUAUCAACGUUUUUCAGAAGGUUCAUGAGACUGGUAUGAUUACUUUGUUUUCAUCUUUGUACAUUUCAAGUUGUGUCUCAGUGAAAACCUACUUGUUGAAAAAUGGAUCUGGAUUGUUUCAGGGGAUAUUUCUCAAAUGCCUGAUGUUUCUGUUGAUCUUGUGGUGAACAGGAUGGAAGGUAGUUGACACUGUUUAGAUCAAAUUUCAGAUCCUUUGUAAUUGUGCGUAAAAACAUAAAUAUAAUUAUAACUUAUUAAGGUUGUAAGUAAAAUGGGGUAAAGGGUAAAAUAAGAAUAGAAAAUAUUAUAUCUGGGCAUAGUUGAAAAAAUAAAUAAGAAAACCACGCAAAACCACCAAAUUGGUGGUUCUAAAAAUUGGACAAUUCCAUGGUUCGGAAUGGUUCCCAAACCAUGAAAGAUUACCAUACCAUACCAUGUCUUUUAAAAAACAAUCAAAACAAACAUAAUUUCGUUGGAAACCAUACCAUACCAUACCACAGAAAACCACCAUCCAAACAACCUGUAAAGUUCCCAUUGCGAAAUUGCUUUGUAAUUACUUUUAGCCAAUUAUUCCUACAUGCAACUUUUCCUACGCGGGUGCACAUUCUCCCUUCCCCCACAAACACACCCACCCACGCACCUCUCUCCCUAUAUACACUAGCAAUAUCAAUAUACUAUAAUUCACCACUGUCAAACUUCCUUUAUUUAAAUUGCCUUCCUCUUAACUCUUUUCUCCUCGACUUGAUUCUUUGAAAUCGCGAAAAUACACUUACAGUUCACGGAAGUAGAAAAUGGCCCGAGUUAAGGUGACAAUGGAGGUGGGAACCGACGGUGUCGCCAUCAUCACCAUCUUUAAUCCUCCUGGGAACGCUCUAGCUAUUCCAAGUAAGCUUAUCCCUUUCUCUACCAAUUUCAAUUCAUGUGUUUUGAUUGGAUUUUGAUUCGAACUUGUGGUGGUUUCAGUUAUUGCUGGACUGAAGGAGAUGUGGACUGAAGCGACGAUGAGAAACGAUGUUAAAGCUAUUGUUUUGACUUGUGAGCUUUCUCAAUUCACUAGCUUUUCGUAAUUUAGUGAUAUCUUCCAACAAACCUGUUGGGACAUUUUAUAGUAAUUUAAGCAUGUCUAAACCAUAUACAUGCCUCCGGCCAUUGUUUUGAAGUUGCCUUUCUAUCCCAAGGAUUUUCUAUCACGCUUACAUGGUAUGAAGUUCAGGAAGAGAAAUACUGUGCGUAGGGAUCCUUUGAACAAAACAUGUCAUACUUACAAAUUGUUUUCUAUCAAGAAAGGUUCUGGAUGUUGCUGAAAUUGACAGCUGUUUCCGGAGAAAUUUGUAAAAGAAAUUUAACUUUCUACAGGACGUGGUCAUGAAGUGUUAGUGAUCUGUUGCUUUAUGUGAUGCUUUAUGGAUUUCUUUUAAGUUCAAUUAUUUGGUAAGUUCGGCAUUUUCCUUAACUUCGUUUGGUGAGCUUUGCAUAGCCGGUCCAAGACCAGCCUGGAUAAAGGAGGUUGGUGGUUAGUUAAAAUUGUAGUUAUAAUUUGAUGAAUCAUAUAGGAGUUCUAGUUUUCAUUUAGGCGUAUAUGUGUUCUGCAUCAUACUUAUGUUAGUCUUCCCUUGCAUUUCAUGUUUAUGUUCUCUGUAUUUUUAUUCAGGAAAUGGAGGCAGAUUUUCUGGUGGUUUUGAUAUCAACGUUUUUCAGAAGGUUCAUGAGACUGGUAUGAUUACUUUGUUUUUCUCUUUGUACAUUUCAAGUUGUGUCUCAGUGAAAACCUCCUUGUUGAAAAAUGGAUCUGGAUUGUUGCUGGGGAUAUUUCUCAAAUGCCUGAUGUUUCUGUUGAUCUUGUGGUGAACACGAUGGAAGGUAGUUGACACUGUUUAGAUCAAAUUUCAGAUCCUUUGUACAGCUCUUUGCUCCUGGUGCUUCUCUGUAUUGUUCUAUAGUCAAUUGUUAUUUACAAAUCUGUCAAUCCUGUUAUUUUUGUAAUUUUAGAUGG